This 450-nucleotide ribosomal RNA is filed under the name uncultured prokaryote. RNAcentral describes it as "bacterial SSU rRNA". It matches the Rfam family "Bacterial small subunit ribosomal RNA", at positions 355 to 796 of the family's 1533-position model. The record is from RNAcentral.
UCGGGAAUUUUGGGCAAUGGGCGCAAGCCUGACCCAGCGACGCCGCGUGAGCGAUGAAGGCCCUCGGGUCGUAAAGCUCUGUCAGAAGGGAAGAUGGGAGUCAUUGCGAAUAGUCUUGACUCUUGACGGUACCUUCAAAGGAAGCGCCGGCUAACUCCGUGCCAGCAGCCGCGGUAAUACGGAGGGCGCAAGCGUUGUUCGGAAUCACUGGGCGUAAAGCGCGUGUAGGCGGUCAGGAUAGUCGGAUGUGAAAUCCCGAGGCUCAACCUCGGAACUGCAUUCGAAACUGCCUGGCUAGAGUCUCGGAGAGGAAGGCGGAAUUCCCGGUGUAGGGGUGAAAUCCGUAGAUAUCGGGAGGAACACCAGUGGCGAAGGCGGCCUUCUGGACGAUGACUGACGCUGAGACGCGAAAGCGUGGGGAGCAAACAGGAUUAGAUACCCCCGUAGUCC